GUCAGAUUAGUCUCAUAAGUACUCGUACAUACAUUGUGGGAUUCGUAAACACAUAGCACGCGAAACACACACACAUUGUGGGAUUCGUACACACAUAGCACGCGAACCACACACAUUGUGGGAUUCGUAAACACAUAGCACGCGAAACACACACACAUCGUGGGAUUCGUAAACACAUAGCACGCGAAACACAAACACAUUCACCAAAUGUGUGUGUGAAUUGUUUUACGCGCAUUUGCAACGUGCUUCCAAUUACAAAUUCCCACUUACGAAUACAAAUUCCCACUUACGAAUGUGUGGAUCGUUUUGAUACCCGUCAUGCGCAACUGAGAAGAACACAUGCAUUUUUUUAACUGGAGCCCGUCUUCAGCCAAUCAGACGUCUUCUUCUUAAACAGCCAAUCACAAGGGCUGGGCUGUUUCGUUACGUCACUGCUGUGCGCCUUCAAGUCCGGUGUACUGAGUGACAAGUGACAAAUGGGGAGCUUUUGUAAAAGUAGGAGCCCCGUUUUUGACAGCUCAACUCGACCGCGGGGACUAUCGAUGCAAGCUGAAGACGUCCCAUCCAUUUUGAGUGGGAGGACCUCCCAUGCACUUCAAAUGUAUUGGAUGUCAACUGGUGAAAAACUCAUUGAACCGCUCAGCAGAGGGAUGAUGAGAGCAAGAUUAGAUGUCUAAUACUGUACUAUAUGUGGCACAUUUUUAACAGGCUUUUUUUCCGCUAAAUAAGUCUUUUUAAGAUUACUUUCUCCAUUUCAAGCCUAUUUGAAAGUCAUACUUGGGAAAAUUCAGACUUCUUAAUGUAUGAUUGUGAUGUCUAUGCUUAAACCAAUUUAAGACCAUUUUAAAAGGAAAAAAAUAGACAUUAUAAGCUUGUUAAAAAUGCUACCUACAGUGACAGUAUUUAAAGGAUGGUAGUCUAUUACGGAUAUAAAAAAAUAUAUUUUUUGAAAGACUUGGAGCAACAGAGCUUUCUUGCCAAAUGAAUCACCUUUGAUACACUUAGGAUUUAGAACUCUUUCCUCAAAAAAAAAAAAAAAAAAAAAAAAAAAAAGGAUGCAAGUCAACUCAUGCAUCUGCAUGUUCCAUGAGAAAAACAGGAUUUAACAAGGAAAAUAGAUAUUAGAGCGCUUAUUACACAUUUUUCUUUACAAAUUUGGAAAAAAAAAGGUUUAAGACCUUAUUUUUCACAUUUUGUGAUUCUCUGACAAUUGCUUCAUAUUGCAGGCAUUAAGGGGUUAAGACCUGCCACAUGAAUUUUACUACCUUUUUAAACACUUUUUUUUAUUGCGACAAACCUAAUAAGUGAUCAAUGAUGGCAAGAGAGGAUAAAGCGCAGCAGCAAAUCCUCAGAUCUGUUCUUUGGAUGCCUUUGAAAGUAAAUAGUGACAUUGAGAGCAAUCAGGAGUUCAAUUAUGUGAGGUGAGGAGACCAAGUAAGUUUUGAGACAUUUUUUUAAUUUAAAUAGACAUCUCAGACUCCCAGCCUGUAGGAGGGCACAGGCUAGAUCUCCUCGAGCCUUCAGAACUUCGGGAAGGUGGGUCUGGUUGUGCCUGAGAUCUCCAUUGGCCAUAUACUCUUCCGCAAACUGAAAUGGCAUUUUAGGCAUUCUGUUACAUAUCAGUGCUAAACAACAACAGCAGCAAAGUUUUACUGCAGAGACUCCGAAAUCUUAAAAUCAUUACCUUUAAUGUGAAAACCCCACAGCUACUGUUGUUCUGCUGCUUGUUAUGGGCCACAGUUUUGGUAGUCCAAGUUUCUAUUUGGAACUCACGGCCCGCCAACCUCAAGAAGUUCCUAAUUAUUGUUUUAUAAGCAAAACAAUGAAGAUGAACAUUGAACUAUUAACUUCCAUAUUAACAUAAUACUAGGAAUUUAAACUUUCUGAAGCGGUUACCUCCAAUUCCGCAAGAUUUUGCUCAUAUUUGUCCUCGUUACUCAAGGGAUCGUUGAUCACCAGUGUUCUCUUAGAAAUGUGGACAAUCUAUAAAAGGUUAGUUCCUUUGUGUAAUUCUGCACAAUGACAGAUUUAUGUAGUUAACUUACUAAUGAAAUUUAACUUCUGUAUGGCAUCAGCUAAAUUAAUAGCUAUAUAUAAUACAUUCCAGAAUCGGUAGGUCUUAAGAAAAUAUAAGAAACCCACUAACCACUAAAAUCCAAUGAGCGCAUACAGGACAGGACAGGACAAAUACACUUUUUUUUUCAACAGGGAAUUUCCUCUGAAGAACAUACAAUACCAAAUUAUUGUUAUUUUGGGUUACUGGCGUUAAAAUAAUAUAGCUAAAUAUUGGCAUGAAAUGGAUUACCUUUCUAACAGGCUGAAAUUUUCCCAAAAGCAGACUCCCAGCUACCACAGCAGAGAGUUGGUGAAUGGGCUCCUGUUAAAAAAAGGGGUAACAACAUUACAACUAUACUCCGGCAAAAAAUAAAUGCAUUGAGAAAAACUAUAUCCAGCACUUGGCUGCUGCCUUUCAAUGAGGAUAUGCAUGUAUGCAUCAAAUACUUGCAUAGCAAAAUAAAAAAAUUGGCAAAAGGCAAGAAUCUUUGUUAUUUGCUAAACACUUAUUGCUCCCACUGACUUCAUCAGACAGCCAGCCGUUGCCUUUUAGCGUAUGAAAAGAUGUGUCAUAUAAUUUAUACGGUCCAACGACAGCCUCCACCUUGCCUUGAUCCUCUGCAGCCCACAGUAAUUUAACUGAAAACACAACAUUGUUAAAUCAAAAAAGUUAUUAUUUACGGCACUUGACCAGAUGACCAUCCGGUCAAAAUUAUCUACUGAAUAGGCCAAACCACCAAACAAAUCCUGUCGGUCGUUCACCAAUUUUGUAAGAGCUGUACGAAGUAGAAGGGUACAAUUAGAUAUACAUUUUAGAACACCAACAACAAC
Corythoichthys intestinalis (scribbled pipefish) is the source of this 2886-nucleotide long non-coding RNA. RefSeq lists it as uncharacterized. Lineage: Eukaryota; Metazoa; Chordata; Actinopteri; Syngnathiformes; Syngnathidae. The record is from RefSeq and is a predicted model, not a curated record. The transcript has 2 exons.